This 998-nucleotide long non-coding RNA is filed under the name Marmota monax (woodchuck). Lineage: Eukaryota; Metazoa; Chordata; Mammalia; Rodentia; Sciuridae. The record is from RNAcentral.
ACCUAGCUCUAAUCCUAGCCCUAAACCUAGCCUUAAUACUAACCAUAACCCUAAUCCCAGCCCUAACGGUAUUUUGACCCUCUCUCUAAACCUAGGUAAAACAUCAUACCCUACCCUAAUCCUAUUCCUAACCCUAGCCCUAAACUUAGGCAUAGCCACAACAUUAACCCUAGCCCUAAUCCUAGCACGAAUUUAGCCUAACCCUAACCAUAACCCUAAAAAUAACCCUAAGACUAACUCUAACUUUCACCCUAGCCCUAACCCUACUUUUAAAUCUAUCCCUUAAAAUAACCCAAACCCUAACCCUAAACCUAGCCCCAACCCUAGCCCUAUAUUUAUCCCUAGCCCUAAACCUAGAUCUAACCCUAAAUCUAAAUCUAACCCUAACCCUAAGCCAAAACCUCACUCUAACACUAGCCCUAACCCUAAUGUUAAUUGGAAAACUAUCCCUAACCCUAGCCCUAGCACUGAAACAAAUCUGAGUCAUAGGCUUAACCCUAAUCCUUAACCUAAACCUAACAAUAACCCUACACUUACCCCUAACCCUAGCCCUAAUUCAAGUCCUAACCUUAACACUAGAACUUACUUUGACCCUGAAUCAGACCUUGAAACUAACCCUAGCUCUAAACAUCACCCUAACCCUAAACCUAACCCUAAAACCAGCCCUAAUUGCAACCCUAGUUAUUACAUUAGCCAUAUUCCUGUGCUAACAGAACACCUAGCCCUAAUAUGAGACCUAAACCUAGCUUUAAAUCUAACACUAACCUUAAGCCUAGCUGUGGUGAGCCGCUUCUGCCGUUUCUGCAGACUAUGGUCGCCAUUACAAGAUGACGCUGGCUCCGCUGUGGUCUGUGACAAACAACUUCUUAUCUGGGAAAGUUGGCACAUGAUUUUUCACCACCCUGUGAGAAAGCUCCACGCGGCAGCUUUGCAUUGGGGCUUGGGAUGCUUUAUUAAGGCUGGGAGGGGCAUCUGGGAGAGAGAAGAAGAAAUAUCAA